ACCCAGCUGGCUCAGUCAGUAGAGCAUGCAACUCUUAAUCUCGGGGUUAUGAGUUCAAGUCCCAUGUUGGGUA
RNAcentral lists this transfer RNA (73 nucleotides) under Felis catus (domestic cat). It matches the Rfam family "tRNA". From Rfam's summary of the family: Transfer RNA (tRNA) molecules are approximately 80 nucleotides in length. Their secondary structure includes four short double-helical elements and three loops (D, anti-codon, and T loops). Lineage: Eukaryota; Metazoa; Chordata; Mammalia; Carnivora; Felidae. The record is from Rfam by way of RNAcentral.